CUGUCAAUUAAUUUAUUCUGUAAAAGAAUAUCGGAGAGUAUCCAAUCUAUACACAUCAUAAACGGUGUAAAAAUGUUUCAUGGAAAAAACAAAAUAAAAAAAGCAAAGACAAAGACAAAUACCAACACCAUCACCACAGUGAUAACAGAUGAUGCUGAUUCAAUAUCUGCGACCAAUUCUAUCCAAAUACUUGGAAAGCUGGACUCUACAACCUAUACUCUACAACAAAUACCCGGGUAUUCU
This 243-nucleotide long non-coding RNA is filed under the name Pelobates cultripes (western spadefoot toad). The record is from RNAcentral. Lineage: Eukaryota; Metazoa; Chordata; Amphibia; Anura; Pelobatidae.